This 459-nucleotide ribosomal RNA is filed under the name uncultured bacterium. RNAcentral's name for it is "partial 16S ribosomal RNA". It matches the Rfam family "Bacterial small subunit ribosomal RNA", at positions 338 to 795 of the family's 1533-position model. The record is from RNAcentral.
CCUACGUGUGGCAGCAGUGAGGCAUAUUGGUCAAUGGGCGCGAGCCUGAACCAGCCAAGUAGCGUGAAGGAUGACUGCCCUACGGGUUGUAAACUUCUUUUAUAAAGGAAUAAAGUCAGGCACGUGUGCCUUUUUGUAUGUACUUUAUGCAGAAGGAUCGGCUAACUCCGUGCCAGCAGCCGCGGUAAUACGGGGGAUUCGAGCGUUAUCCGGAUUUAUUGGGUUUAAAGGGUGCGUAGGCGGAUCUUUAAGUCAGUGGGAAAAUUGCGGGGCUAAACCCCUUCCCGCCAUUGAAACUGGCGCUCUUGAGUGGAAGAGAGGUAUGCGGAAUGCGUGGUGUAGCGGUGAAAUGCAUAGAUAUCACGCAGAACCCCGAUUGCGAAGGCAGCAUGCCGGCUUCCGACUGACGCUGAAGCACGAAAGCGUGGGGAUCGAACAGGAUUAGAUACCCCUGUAGUC